This is a non-coding RNA of Datura stramonium (jimsonweed), 72 nucleotides long. The record is from the annotation of a GenBank genome assembly. NCBI's taxonomy places the organism in Eukaryota, Viridiplantae, Streptophyta, Magnoliopsida, Solanales, Solanaceae.
UCCUUAGUAGCUCAGUGGUAGAGUAGUUGACUGUUAACCAAUUGGUCGUAGGUUCGAAUCCUACGUGGAGAG